GCCCAAGAGAUCGGGAUAACACCUGGAAACAGAUGCUAAUACCGGAUAACAACAGAUGAUGCCUAUCAACUGUUUAAAAGAUGGUUCUGCUAUCACUCUUGGAUGGACCUGCGGUGCAUUAGCUAGUUGGUAGGGUAACGGCCUACCAAGGCAAUGAUGCAUAGCCGAGUUGAGAGACUGAUCGGCCACAUUGGGACUGAGACACGGCCCAAACUCCUACGGGAGGCAGCAGCU
RNAcentral lists this ribosomal RNA (234 nucleotides) under uncultured Lactobacillus sp. RNAcentral's name for it is "partial 16S ribosomal RNA". It matches the Rfam family "Bacterial small subunit ribosomal RNA", at positions 128 to 355 of the family's 1533-position model. The record is from RNAcentral. Lineage: Bacteria; Bacillati; Bacillota; Bacilli; Lactobacillales; Lactobacillaceae.